UACGGAAGGCAGCAGUGGGGAAUAUUGCACAAUGGGCGCAAGCCUGAUGCAGCCAUGCCGCGUGUAUGAAGAAGGCCUUCGGGUUGUAAAGUACUUUCAGUCGUGAGGAAGGCGUUAAGGUUAAUAACCUUAGCAAUUGACGUUAGCGACAGAAGAAGCACCGGCUAACUCCGUGCCAGCAGCCGCGGUAAUACGGAGGGUGCGAGCGUUAAUCGGAAUUACUGGGCGUAAAGGGCACGCAGGCGGUUAAUUAAGUUGGAUGUGAAAUCCCCGGGCUUAACCUGGGAAUGGCAUUCAAGACUGGCUAGCUAGAGUCUUGUAGAGGGGGUUAGAAUUCCAUGUGUAGCGGUGAAAUGCGUAGAGAUGUGGAGGAAUACCGGUGGCGAAGGCGGCCCCUGGGACAAGACUGACGCUCAUGUGCGAAAGCGUGGGGAGCAAACGAGGAUUAGAUACC
This 454-nucleotide ribosomal RNA is filed under the name uncultured bacterium. RNAcentral describes it as "bacterial SSU rRNA". It matches the Rfam family "Bacterial small subunit ribosomal RNA", at positions 340 to 786 of the family's 1533-position model. The record is from RNAcentral.